UACGUAGGGUGCGAGCGUUAAUCGGAAUUACUGGGCGUAAAGUGUGCGCAGGCGGCCGCGCAAGUCGAGUGUGAAAUCCCCGGGCCCAACCUGGGAACUGCAUUUGUGACUGCAUCGCUGGAGUGCGGCAGAGGGGGAUGGAAUUCCGCGUGUAGCAGUGAAAUGCGUAGAUAUGCGGAGGAACACCGAUGGCGAAGGCAAUCCCCUGGGCCUGCACUGACGCUCAUGCACGAAAGCUAGGGGAGCGAACGGG
This 253-nucleotide ribosomal RNA is filed under the name uncultured bacterium. RNAcentral describes it as "partial 16S ribosomal RNA". It matches the Rfam family "Bacterial small subunit ribosomal RNA", at positions 524 to 776 of the family's 1533-position model. The record is from RNAcentral.